AAUUGGCUUGCAUUGCACCUUCCUACCCAAGCAGCUUGGUUUUCUUUCGCUUUGACCCUGUAAUUUCUUUCCCACUUCGUUGUCGUCUCUGAAUUACCUUUCUCUUGAUUCUUGCCCAUUAGCAUCCUCCAAUUUCAGAUGUUUGUAGAUCCCCAAGUGUUCCCAGGGAAAACUACUAGAAAAGGUCAAGCUGAUGCAAGAGAUGGUUUCCCAUGGUCUUGGGCAGCUCCACCCCUGUGGCUUUGCAGGGUACAAUCUCCCUCCUGGCUGCUUUCAUGGGCUGGCAUUGAGUGUCUGCAGCUUUUCCAGGUGCACAGUGCAAGCUAUCGGUGGAUCUACCUUUCUGGGGUAUGAUGGACAGUGGCCCUCUUCUUAACGGCUCCACUAGGCAGUGCCCCAGUAGGGACUGUGUGCGGGGGCCCUGACCCCACAUUUCCCUUCUGCACUGCCCUAGCAGAGGUUCUCCAUGAGAGCCCCGCCCCUGCAGCAAACUUCUGCGCGGACAUCCAGGCGUUUCCAUACAUCCUCUGAGACCUAGGUGGAGGUUCCCAAACCCCAAUUCUUGACUUCUGUGCACAGGCAGGCUCAACACCAUACAGAAGCUGCCAAGGCUUCAGGCUUGCACCCUGUGAAGCCAUGGCCCAAGCUCUACUUUGGCCCCUUUCAGCCACGGCUAGAGCAGCUGGGACACAGGGCACCAAGUCCCUAGACUGCACACAGCAUGGGGACCCUGGGACCAGCCCUCAAAACCACUUUUUCCUCCUAUACUUCCAGGCCUGUGAUGAGAAGGGCUGCCGUGAAGACCUCUCACAUGCCCUGGAGGCAUUUUUCCUAUUGUCUUGGGGAUUAACAUUCGGUUACUUGUUACUUACGCAAAUUUCUGCAACUGGCUUGAAUUUCUCGUCAGAAAAUGGGAUUUUUCUUUUCUAUCACAUUGUCAGGCUGCAAAUUUUCCGAACAUUUAUGCUCUGCUUCCCUUAUAAAACUGAAUGCCUUUAACAGCACCCAAGUCACCUCUUGAAUGCUUUGCUGCUUAGAAAUUUCUUCUGCCAGAUACCCUAAAUUAUCUCUCUCAAGUUCAAAGUUCGACAAAUCUCUAGGGCAGGGGCAAAAUGCCACUAAUCUCUUUAUUAAAACAUAACAAGAGCCACCUUUGCUCCAGUUCCCAACAAGGUCCUCAUCUCCAUCUGAGAUUACCUCAGCCUGGAUUUCAUUGUCCAUAUUGCUAUCAGCAUUUUGGGCAAAGCCAUUCAACAAGUCUCUAGGAAGUUCCAAACUCUCCGACAUUUUCCUGUCUUCUGAGCCCUCCAAGCUGUUCCAACCUCUGCCUAUUACAAAGUUCCAAAGUUGCUUUCACAUUUUUGGCUGUCUUUUCAGCAACACCCCACUCCUGGAACCAAUUUACUGUAUUAGUCUGUUUUCAUGCUGCUAAUAAAAACAUACCUGAGACUGGGCAAUUUACAAAAUAAAGAGGUUUAAUUGGACUCACAGUUCCACGUGGCUGAGGAGGCCUCAGAAUCAUGGUGGAAGGCAAGGAGGAGCAAGUCACAUCUUAUAUCAAUGUCAGCAGGCAAAGAGAGCUUGUGCAGGGAACUCCUGUUUUGAAAACCAUCAGAUCUUGUGUGACUUAUUCACUACCACAAGAACAGUAUGGGGGAAACCACCCCCAUGAUUUAAUUUUCUCCCACAGAAUUUUUCCCUCAACAUGUGAGAAUUAUGGGAGUACAAUUCAAGAUGAUAUUUGGGUGGGACACAGCCAAACCAUAUCAAUCAUCAAACAAGAAAAGAGGGAAACUUUCACAACCAAGAGAUCCCUAAAGAGGUAUGCUGACUGAAUGUAAUGUGGGAUCCUAGGGCAAAAAGAAUAUUAUGUAAAAACGAAGGAUAUCUGAAUAAAGUAUGGACUUUAUUUAGUUAAUAAUAAUGUGUCAAUAAUGGUUCAUUAGAUGUAACAAAUGCACCAUAUUGAUGUAAGAUGUUCAAAGUAGGGAAAACUGAAUAUGAGUAUAUGGGAACUUUCUUUA
Molecule: long non-coding RNA, 2024 nt
Filed under: Homo sapiens (human)
Lineage: Eukaryota; Metazoa; Chordata; Mammalia; Primates; Hominidae
Description: HSALNT0308704
Source: RNAcentral